CAAAUUUGAGUUGCCUUCAGCUCGUAUUACAAUGUCAAAAGUUGAGAUGCAGAGAUUCUGUGAGGUGCUUAAGUCAGUGAAGUCACCAGAUGGUUACUGCUCUAAUAUUUCAAAUAAUAUCCAAGUGAAAGAGCGAAAACUUUUAGGACUUAAGACUCAUGAUUAUCAUAUCCUUCUUCACCAAUUGCUUCCGGUAGCACUUCGUAACAACAUGGCCGAUGAAGAAGUAGCAAAAGUUAUAAUCGAAUUCUGUGGAUUUUUUAAAAAGUUAUGCUCAAAAGUUAUCAAUAUUGAUGAAUUUAAGGCACUAAAAGGAGAAAUGAAUGAAACCCUCUGCAAAAUGGAGAUAUUCUUCCCUCCAUCAUUUUUUACGAUCAUGGUCCAUCUCACACAUCAUCUUGUAGAUGAGGCAUUACUCGGAGGACCAGUUAACUAUCGUUGGAUGUAUCCCAUGGAGAGGUUAGUCAAAAUUCAAUUAAGUCUAUUUACAAUACAUGUAACUGCUUUAUAUUAACAACUCAUAUUAAUAUUAUCUUUAGAUAUUUGGGUUUCUUGAAACGCAUAAUGCGAAAUCGGGCUCAUCCUGAAGGAUCGAUUGCUGAUCAUUACGUGACAAAUGAAUGUAUGAUGUUCACCUCUCGAUAUAUACAUGGUGUACAUACAAAAAAUAAGGAGAUAAAUAGUAAUAGAGAUGGCACCUUUCAUGGAAGUACCAAGAUGAACAAAGACUAUUCCAGAAUUGACUUGAAUCAGGCUCAUGCCUUCUUAUUGCAGAACCUGGAAAUCUUUGAAGAUUAUCGCAAGUAAGAAAUUAACUUUAACAAAUAUGAUUUUUUUUAAUUAUAUCAAUAAUUGAACUCUAAUUUUUUGUAUCAACAGACAACAUUUGGAGGAGUUACAUUUAGAAAUUACUGGUGCGUCCGCACGAAAUCAAAUUGCUAAAAUUCAUGAAAAACAUUUUACCGAGUGGGUCAUAGCUGAAGUAGAAAGACAAAAAUGUGCUGGUUUGCCAGUGUCAGAAGAGAUAAGUAUUCACUCACAUGGACCGCACUACACAGUUAAACAAUGCAGCGGAUAUCGUGUAAAUGGGUGUUUAUUUCAACGGGUUGGGCUUGAGGAGGAGAGAGUUACUCAAAAUAGUGGGGUCAUGGCUGCAUUUUCUCAAGAAUGUUAUUCAAGCUCAACUGAUCAAAAUCCGGUUCUUGGUGAUGUAAUUUAUUACGGACAAUUAGAAGAUAUUGUGGAGAUAUUUUAUGCGUACGGUACCAAAAAUGUACGUAGUUAUGUGAUGUUUAAGGUUCGUUGGUGUCAUGCAGACAGUACUAGGGAUGCAUAUGGUUUUCAUCUUGUAAAUCUAGAUAAGGAGAUAUAUCCCGAUAUGAAGUUUAUGUUUGCAAAUCAGGCUACUCAGUGCUUUUACGUCAAAGAUCCUAAGCACCCGAAUGUCUGGGUCGUAUUGUAUAAGGAGCCGAGGACUCUUGUUCAGCUUGCUCUUGAUGAAAACUCGGAUGAUACUGAUGACCCAAAUGAGGCCGAAGGAGAAAUUUUUCUUAAUUACUCAUACCCUCAGAAUGUCAAUUUUAAUAUGUAUACUUCACAAAUUCGACUUGAUAUCUGUAAUGUAGGAGAUUGAAUACAAAGAUCCUUAUGCAAAUUCGACUUGAUAUCUGUAAUGUAGGAGAUUGAAUACAAAGAUCCUUAUGCAAAUUCGACUUGAUAUCUGUAAUGUAGGAGAUUGAAUACAAAGAUCCUUAUGCAAAUUCGACUUGAUAUCUGUAAUGUAGGAGAUUGAAUACAAAGAUCCUUAUGCAAAUUCGACUUGAUAUCUGUAAUGUAGGAGAUUGAAUACAAAGAUCCUUAUGCAAAUUCGACUUGAUAUCUUGUAUGCAUUUAUUAAAUAUUUCAAUUAUGUUAGAUUAACAAUUUAAGUUGCAGAUGAGCCAAAGAGUUAGGAGGCUAUCUUUUCCUCGGGAUCGAGAAGGUCCAUCAUCCGGAUCGUCCUCACGACCAUCUCGGAGUCAGUUAUCUCUACAUGGAUCCUCACCAAUUGAAGAUAUUGCGGGGACAUCUCAAAUGUGUACACCGCAACAUCAAGACACAUUACCAGGUAUAGGUAUUAUACAUUCGACUGCAGAUUAACUAUCAGCCACCUGUUCUCAACUAAAGACUGCAUUUUCACCUGCAAUUCAUGUAGACAAUGUAUCUUUCAAUGACUUAAUUCAGAAAAAGUUCGCUGAUCAAAAUUCAAAGUUUGGAAACUUUAAAAAAAAUUACCUGCGUAAAAGAGCCUUGAAUGGUCAGGGAAUUUGGACGGCGAUACAAGGAAGCAAGAUUACCACCAGAAGCAGUUGGUGUGGGAUCAACUCUUCCAUCCGAUUCCCAUACUUCAUUCCUUGGCUUAUCGUGUUUUGGAUUCAGGAAACUAAUUUACAAUAUAUAGAGAUGACAAAGUCAAGAAUUAGACAUAUGAAUAAUCAUGAAGCAACUGAUUUAAUAUACAAGAAGAAAAAUUUGUAGGAA
Long non-coding RNA from Asparagus officinalis (garden asparagus), 2520 nucleotides. RefSeq lists it as uncharacterized. Lineage: Eukaryota; Viridiplantae; Streptophyta; Magnoliopsida; Asparagales; Asparagaceae. The record is from RefSeq and is a predicted model, not a curated record. The transcript is spliced from 4 exons.